AGCUACUCAAGUGAGAAAGCAACUUAAUGCAUCUCGCACAAAAGGAGAACCAAUUCAAGGCUUUAAUUUCAGCACUACAGCUAUGAUAACAAGAUACCUACAGGACCAAAAAGAGCCCUGGAUCGUUGUGCUCUAUGCACCAUUGUGCCUCUUCUGUGAGGCUAUGGAAGAAUCAUAUGUGGAUUUGGCGGAGAAUUUAGCAGGGUCAGGAGUGAAGGUUGGAAAAUUUAGAGCAGACUAUGCAAAGAAUAUGCAAAGAGGGAACUAGGGUUGGGAAGCUUCCUCACAAUCCUAUUCUUGCUUUAGAUAUGACAAUGUUCCUUCAGAAAUCAACAAGUUGAGAUGUAGGGUCUAUUAUCAUGCUCUGAAGUUUCUUUCUGAUAUAGAGCAGAUGACAGAUUUAUUGACAUCGAGGAUGAG
This is a long non-coding RNA of Vicia villosa (hairy vetch), 420 nucleotides long. RefSeq lists it as uncharacterized. NCBI's taxonomy places the organism in Eukaryota, Viridiplantae, Streptophyta, Magnoliopsida, Fabales, Fabaceae. The transcript has 3 exons. The record is from RefSeq and is a predicted model, not a curated record.